UUGUAAGAGACACUUGCAUUAUCUGAAGUGGCUGAACUGUCUCAUAGGUUUCACUGCAUUCAUUAUUUUCUAUAUGCUUCAGGUGAGAGUGAUCCUUUAAGUGCCAGGAUAUAACUGCUUAUCCAACAGACUGGACAUCUCCAUCCAGGACAGGUCCCACUGCACUUCUGUCACGUCCUGCUUGGUCGCAGGAAGCUCCACUGCCGGUAGAUUCUCUAUUGGAAGUGCCAGACAGCUACUUGUGCAAAACCUCUGAGAAAACUGCAUCAUCUUCCAACCUGAGGAGUAAGGGCACUGCAGAAGGAAAGUCUCCCCUUUGAAGAUCUGUCUGGUGCUGGGAGUCAGAGUCAGAGAAGGAGGAGGCAGCUCUGGAGGACAGAGGUGGACAGAGGGAACAGAAGAGAAAUUGAGAAGAAGACAAUCAAGAAAUGCAGAUGUUUCAUACCGUAGCAGUUCGCAAAUGCACUAGUGAUAGACCGUAAUCGUAACCGUAAUUAAUCGUUAUAAAACAUGACAAUUUAAAAUUGUAUUUUGGCUGCCCCGCUUUCUUUAUAUCGGCAUCAGUAUCGGCCAUUGAAAAACCAUAUUGGUCGACCGCUAAAAUGUACCAGCAGUUCUGCACGUCUGGCUGUAGACUAAUGCGUCACAUGGGAUCUUAACUGAUGUAACAACAUAUCUCGAUAAAAUCCUGACAAUUAUCACACAGUAUGUGUUUAUAUUAUUGAUUAACUGUCUUUAUUGAACUCAGCUGUAUGUUCUUAUACUAAACAUUGUCAAAUGCUAGCACCAUGACUCCAGGGAUGGCAAUGUAAAUCCGUCUAUCCCCUACAUUGGUCCAGGCUGAAAUAUUUAUAAUAUUUAUAACAAUUGGAUGAGUUGCCAUGAAAUUUGGUACAGAGAUUCAUGUUCCACUCAGGAUAAUAACUUUGGUGAUUCCCUCAAUUUUCCAUCUAAAUAUUAAAAUGCCCAUUUGUCCAGUUCUGUGACUUAUCACCAAAUACCUAGAAAACUAAUAACAUUGCCAUCAACCUCAGCUAAAAACAAGACCAUGCUAACACGCUAAACUAAGAUGGUGAAUGUGUUAAAUAUUAUAACUGGUUAGCAUCAGCAUGUUAGUAUUGUCACUGUGAGUAUGUUAGCAUUUAGGUCAAAGCAGCCAGAGACGUUUUAUAGAGGAGACACGCCACUCAAUCACAUCCUCAAUACAACUCUAUGGGGAAAGCCUGUAACGGCAAAGAUGGCAGUUAUCCCGCCCCUCCCGCUAGAAAGCCAAUCGUCUGCUUUUAACAGCCAACGCGGGAAACAGGUGUUUGGUAUAUUGUUAAAGGUAGGUGGACUGGUCUAAAACAUUUUGUAUGUGUUGUACAACAGAUGUUUGUGAUACAUAUUUAUUUCAGGUCGCUGUAAUACUUAAAAGUGUUAUUUCCAUUUUAGGAUUCACUACUUAGCCGACAUAUAUUUGAAAUUGGUAUAAACCACGAUGUAGAAUAUAUUAACCUUAAGAGUUCAGUGGCUGUUAUACAUUCGGACGUCAAACUAAUAUAAAAAUAACUGCAUAUAUGUGUUGUUGCAUCAGAAGUCAGUGACUACACAACCUUAACGCUCUUCUUUGUUUUCAUGUGUAUAUAGUAGGAACCUGAUGCCUCACUGCUCACCUGACACAAUGAGCACUGUCGGCAUGCUGGGCACUGCCACAAGGGUGGUGUUGUCCUUCCACCAAUCAGCUUGGCACCAAUACUUGCCCGCGUCCUCCCUCGUUACGGCGGUGAUGGAGUAGCUGUCACCGGAGACCACGUGCCUGGGGUUUGGGGUCGGAGCAGUGUAUGAAUUGUGCCUGAACCAUUGGUAUCUCCGCACAGAUCUGAAGUUUGACCCCAGUGUGCACUGCAACAACACACACUCACCAAGGUAGAUGUUUGACCCCCGAGGCCACACAGACACUCCGACCUUCCCAAUCACUGCAGGAAUAAAUCAUUAUAAUCA
Long non-coding RNA from Micropterus dolomieu (smallmouth bass), 1983 nucleotides. RefSeq lists it as uncharacterized. The transcript is spliced from 2 exons. NCBI's taxonomy places the organism in Eukaryota, Metazoa, Chordata, Actinopteri, Centrarchiformes, Centrarchidae. The record is from RefSeq and is a predicted model, not a curated record.